CCUCAUGUAUCACUGAAACAACCAACUGAAAACCAUUGAGAGGCUCAUGGUGAAAGAAGACAGACAGUGUAAUUUCCCUGGAAACUCAAUUUUGAUUCAGACGUCCACAGCAUCUCAUUUCUGCCUUUAAAAAAUUUCAAGAGUGACAUUUUGGCAUGACUGGACUCACAGGUGGAGAAGUGUUGUCUUUUCCCUGCAUUGAGAUAGCAUUGCAUGGAGAUCCUUGUACUCUUCGAACAGAGGCUGCAGAUGGACACAGGAUCUGCUCAGGGAGAUAAGAUCACCUGCUAAUUCUGCUUUCUCCAUCAGAGUCUGAAUGAUCAGUGAUGGGGACCAGAGCUAGGUUAGGUCUCUGGAAACGCCCUCUGUCUGAGUCCGGGAGAUGGAUGAUAUGGGUAAUGACUUGCUGCUUUAUCUUCUCUCCAUCUCCUUACAGCAGCUCCAACUACUGACUUUUAUUGUGUGGCAGCUAAUUGUAGGAUUCUAUUUCUGUAAAGAGAAGGCAAGAGAGGAAUGCAGUGUCCACCAUCCCUGCAGCCCUUUGGCGCCUUCCCCCUCCCAUUACCUUGAAGUAGAGGGAAAGGGGACGACAGAAGAACCCUUAGAAGUAAGACUUUUUCUGUCUCUGAUGCCACGGACCUUUGAAAUAUUUUUUUGAAAAGAAGGCCUCCCUUGGCUGAUACCUUCUGACUGUUAGUGAAUAAAGG
Molecule: long non-coding RNA, 707 nt
Organism: Homo sapiens (human)
Lineage: Eukaryota; Metazoa; Chordata; Mammalia; Primates; Hominidae
Source: Ensembl